AUAAUAGGAUUUUCAACUACAUAUUGGUAUACAAUUGGAGAUUUAGUUAAUGGGAUUAUGGAAAUCAUGUUUUCAAUCAAAUGGAGUAGAAGUUUGUAACUAUUUUACAGUAAAGAUAUACACAUGCAAAACCAAUAUGGUUUUCAAAAAAGAGGAAAAUUCUUACUAGAUUAAUGGUGUCCAAUCACAAGGAAUUCCAGUGCUGAUGGUUCCAAACCAGCUGUAUAGAAAAUUUUAUGGGGAAAUCAUUUUAACUAAUUUAAGUGUGUCAAGAAAUCCAGAAGUAACAUUACAAAAUGAAGAAAAUAAAUUGAACUCCUUCAAUUUUUUGACAGAAUUGCCAUGUCAAAAUUACAAUUGUUAUGUUCAAUAGGGAUUGGAUUUUGAAUUGUUUUUAAGAAUUCAAUAAAAUCUAAUAAUGCUU
Mytilus trossulus (common blue mussel) is the source of this 424-nucleotide long non-coding RNA. RefSeq lists it as uncharacterized. The transcript is spliced from 3 exons. Lineage: Eukaryota; Metazoa; Mollusca; Bivalvia; Mytilida; Mytilidae. The record is from RefSeq and is a predicted model, not a curated record.